RNAcentral lists this long non-coding RNA (240 nucleotides) under Hordeum vulgare. RNAcentral's name for it is "long non-coding RNA (HVUL_LNC004903)". Lineage: Eukaryota; Viridiplantae; Streptophyta; Magnoliopsida; Poales; Poaceae. The record is from RNAcentral.
AAUUGAAGUUUGUUCUAUGACCAACAUUGGGUCUGCUCUUAGCACGAUUGGCCUUCCACCAAUCCAGUCUAGCAAAAAGGAACAUAUACUAAGUAAGAACUACUGGAAUUAAAAAAUAAUUUGAUAUACAACAGAAUCACUGAGUAAAAGAAAUAACUUCAAAGGAGUGAUAGAAUAGUAGAUAGAUAUCCUUCAGGAGAAGCCUAGAUAAUCAACAUACCUUUUUUUGCACGGAAAAAC